AUUGAACGCUGGCGGCAGGCCUAACACAUGCAAGUCGAGCGGAUGAAGGGAGCUUGCUCCUGGAUUCAGCGGCGGACGGGUGAGUAAUGCCUAUGAAUCUGCCUGGUGGUGGGGGGUAACGUCCGGAGACGGGCGCUAAUACAGCAUAUGUCCUGAGGGAGUAAGAGGGGGGUCUUCGCACCUCUCGCUCUCAGAUGAGCCUAGGUCGGAUUAGCUAGUUGGUGGGGUAAAGGCCUACCAAGGCGACGAUCCGUAACUGGUCUGAGAGGAUGAUCAGUCACACUGGAACUGAGACACGGUCCAGACUCCUACGGGAGGCAGCAGUGGGGAAUAUUGGACAAUGGGCGAAAGCCUGAUCCAGCCAUGCCGCGUGUGUGAAGAAGGUCUUCGGAUUGUAAAGCACUUUAAGUUGGGAGGAAGGGCAGUAAGUUAAUACCUUGCUGUUUUGACGUUACCAGCAGAAUAAGCACCGGCUAACUACGUG
This 484-nucleotide ribosomal RNA is filed under the name uncultured bacterium. RNAcentral's name for it is "partial 16S ribosomal RNA". It matches the Rfam family "Bacterial small subunit ribosomal RNA", at positions 30 to 507 of the family's 1533-position model. The record is from RNAcentral.